CGCAGCCGCGGUAAUUCCAGCUCCAAUAGCGUAUAUUAAAGUUGUUGCAGUUAAAAGCUCGUAGUUGAAUUUCGGGGUUAGUAGGUUGGUCGUGCCACUGGUACGUACUGGUCUCACUGAUUCCUCCUUCCUGAUGAACUGUAAUGCCAUUAAUUUGGUGUUGCAGGGAAACUGGACUGUUACUUUGAAAAAAUUAGAGUGUUUAAAGCAAGCUAACGCUUGAAUACAUUAGCAUGGAAUAAUGAAAUAGGACGUUCGAUCCUAUUUUGUUGGUUUCUAGGAUUGACGUAAUGAUUAAUAGGGAUAGUUGGGGGCAUUAGUAUUCAAUUGUCAGAGGUGAAAUUCUUGGAUUUAUUGAAGACUAACUACUGCGAAAGCAUUUGCCAAGGAUGUUUUCAUUAAUCAAGAACGAAAGUUAGGGGAUCGAAGACGAUCAGAUACCGUCGUAGUCUUAACCAUAAACUAUGCCGACUAGGGAUCGGAUGAUGUUAAUUUUUUAAUGACUCGUUUGGCACCUUAC
This 520-nucleotide ribosomal RNA is filed under the name uncultured Glomus. RNAcentral describes it as "SSU rRNA". It matches the Rfam family "Eukaryotic small subunit ribosomal RNA", at positions 569 to 1091 of the family's 1831-position model. Lineage: Eukaryota; Fungi; Glomeromycota; Glomeromycetes; Glomerales; Glomeraceae. The record is from RNAcentral.